AUUGGGCCGAGUUUGAUCCUGGCUCAGAACGAACGCUGGCGGCAGGCCUAACACAUGCAAGUCGAGCGCUGUAGCAAUACAGAGCGGCGCACGGGUGAGUAACACGUGGGAACGUGCCUAUCGGUUCGGAAUAACUCAGGGAAACUUGAGCUAAUACCGGAUACGCCCCCUGGGGGAAAGAUUUAUCGCCGAAAGAUUAGCCCGCGUUGGAUUAGCUAGUUGGUGAGGUAAAGGCUCACCAAGGCGACGAUCCAUAGCUGGUUUGAGAGAACGACCAGCCACACUGGGACUGAGACACGGCCCAGACUCCUACGGGAGGCAGCAGUGGGGAAUCUUGGACAAUGGAGGAAACUCUGAUCCAGCCAUGCCGCGUGAGUGAUGAAGGCCUUCGGGUUGUAAAACUCUUUUGGCGGGGACGAUAAUGACGGUACCCGCAGAAUAAGCUCCGGCUAACUUCGUGCCAGCAGCCGCGGUAAU
RNAcentral lists this ribosomal RNA (477 nucleotides) under uncultured bacterium. RNAcentral's name for it is "bacterial SSU rRNA". It matches the Rfam family "Bacterial small subunit ribosomal RNA", at positions 1 to 524 of the family's 1533-position model. The record is from RNAcentral.